Molecule: ribosomal RNA, 1171 nt
Filed under: Nocardiopsis sp. AUNIA-1
Lineage: Bacteria; Bacillati; Actinomycetota; Actinomycetes; Streptosporangiales; Nocardiopsidaceae
Description: bacterial SSU rRNA
Rfam family: Bacterial small subunit ribosomal RNA
Source: RNAcentral
CACUGGGAUUGAGACACGGCCCAGACUCCUGCGGGAGGCAGCAGUGGGGAAUAUUGCGCAAUGGGCGAAAGCCUGACGCAGCGACGCCGCGUGGGGGAGACGGCCUUCGGGUUGUAACCUCUUUUACCACCAACGCAGGCUUCCAGUUCUCUGGAGGUUGACGGUAGGUGGGGAAUAAGGACCGGCUAACUACGUGCCAGCAGCCGCGGUAAUACGUAGGGUCCGAGCGUUGUCCGGAAUUAUUGGGCGUAAAGAGCUCGUAGGCGGCGUGUCGCGUCUGCUGUGAAAGACCGGGGCUUAACUCCGGUUCUGCAGUGGAUACGGGCAUGCUAGAGGUAGGUAGGGGAGACUGGAAUUCCUGGUGUAGCGGUGAAAUGCGCAGAUAUCAGGAGGAACACCGGUGGCGAAGGCGGGUCUCUGGGCCUUACCUGACGCUGAGGAGCGAAAGCAUGGGGAGCGAACAGGAUUAGAUACCCUGGUAGUCCAUGCCGUAAACGUUGGGCGCUAGGUGUGGGGACUUUCCACGGUUUCCGCGCCGUAGCUAACGCAUUAAGCGCCCCGCCUGGGGAGUACGGCCGCAAGGCUAAAACUCAAAGGAAUUGACGGGGGCCCGCACAAGCGGCGGAGCAUGUUGCUUAAUUCGACGCAACGCGAAGAACCUUACCAAGGUUUGACAUCACCCGUGGACUCGCAGAGAUGUGAGGUCAUUUAGUUGGCGGGUGACAGGUGGUGCAUGGCUGUCGUCAGCUCGUGUCGUGAGAUGUUGGGUUAAGUCCCGCAACGAGCGCAACCCUUGUUCCAUGUUGCCAGCACGUAAUGGUGGGGACUCAUGGGAGACUGCCGGGGUCAACUCGGAGGAAGGUGGGGAUGACGUCAAGUCAUCAUGCCCCUUAUGUCUUGGGCUGCAAACAUGCUACAAUGGCCGGUACAAUGGGCGUGCGAUACCGUAAGGUGGAGCGAAUCCCUAAAAGCCGGUCUCAGUUCGGAUUGGGGUCUGCAACUCGACCCCAUGAAGGUGGAGUCGCUAGUAAUCGCGGAUCAGCAACGCCGCGGUGAAUACGUUCCCGGGCCUUGUACACACCGCCCGUCACGUCAUGAAAGUCGGCAACACCCGAAACUUGCGGCCUAACCCCUUGGGGAGGGAGUGAGGAAGGUGGACUGCAGGCUCACU